UACGAAGGUGGCAAGCGUUGUUCGGAUUCAUUGGGUUUAAAGGGAGCGUAGGUGGUCUUAUAAGUCAGUGGUGAAAUCUCGCAGCUUAACUGCGAAACUGCCAUUGAUACUGUAGGACUUGAGUGUAGUUGCUGUGGGCGGAAUAUGACAUGUAGUGGUGAAAUACUUAGAGAUGUCAUAGAACACCGAUUGCGAAGGCAGCUCACAAAACUAUAACUGACACUGAGGCUCGAAAGUGCGGGGAUCAAACAGGAUUAGAAACCCUAGUAGU
This 271-nucleotide ribosomal RNA is filed under the name uncultured bacterium. RNAcentral describes it as "partial 16S ribosomal RNA". It matches the Rfam family "Bacterial small subunit ribosomal RNA", at positions 524 to 794 of the family's 1533-position model. The record is from RNAcentral.